AUUGAACGCUGGCGGCAGGCCUAACACAUGCAAGUCGAGCGGAUGAAGGGAGCUUGCUCCUGGAUUCAGCGGCGGACGGGUGAGUAAUGCCUAGGAAUCUGCCUGGUAGUGGGGGAUAACGUCCGGAAACGGGCGCUAAUACCGCAUACGUCCUGAGGGAGAAAGUGGGGGAUCUUCGGACCUCACGCUAUCAGAUGAGCCUAGGUCGGAUUAGCUAGUUGGUGGGGUAAAGGCCUACCAAGGCGACGAUCCGUAACUGGUCUGAGAGGAUGAUCAGUCACACUGGAACUGAGACACGGUCCAGACUCCUACGGGAGGCAGCAGUGGGGAAUGUUGGACAAUGGGCGGAAGCCUGAUCCAGCCAUGCCGCGUGUGUGAAGAAGGUCUUCGGAUUGUAAAGCACUUUAAGUUGGGAGGAAGGGCAGUAAGUUAAUACCUUGCUGUUUUGACGUUACCAACAGAAUAAGCACCGGCUAACUUCGUG
This 484-nucleotide ribosomal RNA is filed under the name uncultured bacterium. RNAcentral describes it as "partial 16S ribosomal RNA". It matches the Rfam family "Bacterial small subunit ribosomal RNA", at positions 30 to 507 of the family's 1533-position model. The record is from RNAcentral.